AAAACAGAACAGAAAGGAGGAGAU
RNAcentral lists this non-coding RNA (24 nucleotides) under Cricetulus griseus (Chinese hamster). The record is from RNAcentral. Lineage: Eukaryota; Metazoa; Chordata; Mammalia; Rodentia; Cricetidae.